Clupea harengus (Atlantic herring) is the source of this 835-nucleotide long non-coding RNA. Lineage: Eukaryota; Metazoa; Chordata; Actinopteri; Clupeiformes; Clupeidae. The record is from Ensembl.
AUAGGUCGAGGUUUUAUGAUUUUUUUUACCCUUGUGGUCUCAAAUGAAAGGUGUAAGAUUACGCUGACGUUCAGUUUCAAUUAAAAAGCCCUACUUCCUCAUAUAGCACACAGAGAGCCGCUUACACCUUGUAUCGAGGUUCAAGUUGUGCUUCAAGGAAAGAUGCUUCACAUAAUACUGUUGAUUGGACUGUUUUGUCGCUCUGCUUGUCAAAGCACUACAGCUACAGGCCUCCAAACAUUUGCAGUACUGAGGGUUGUUGUCGUGUCCCAUGAAGAUAUGAAUGUAACGACUGCACAAACUACUUUGGAUAAGAUCGCGUCCCUGCUCCUACUAGGCCCAGAUGUACAACUAUCAGUGAGGAGUAUUCAGCGCAUUUAUUUUUCCACAUGACGACCUAGUCAUGUAGCCAUAUCUAUUCAAUCAAUCACUUCAACAACGCCUUUUGUGUCAUUCUCUCUAUAGCAGAAGAAAAAAACAAUGACUAUAAGUGUAUGGUAAGCCUAUGGAUCAAAUUAAUAAACAGCGGAACAAAGUAAUACUUUGUUUAUAUCCUUGGAAUCUUAAAAUCAACCAAAGGUGAAGGGGUUGGCACACGGUUUUUAAAGGGUUAUUCUGGAGUUAUGUAAAGGUAUGUAACUUUUGUGGUAAAAAUGUUUGUAGACGUAUCUGUAAUAAGUAAAAGCCAUGUAGGCUACUGUAAUUCUGAAGAUUUCCCCAGUGUUAAUGUGCAUUCUGUUUCUCUAAUUUCAGCCUUUCAGUGCAUUUGUUUACAUUUUCUGGCUCUGAAAAUAAAUGUAAAUAAAUGCACUGAAUACACUGCAAGCAAAGAACC